AACCUGAAACCGUGUACGUACAAGCAGUAGGAGCACCUUCGUGGUGUGACUGCGUACCUUUUGUAUAAUGGGUCAGCGACUUAUAUUCAGUGGCAAGGUUAACCGUAUAGGGGAGCCGUAGCGAAAGCGAGUCUUAACUGGGCGCUCAGUCUCUGGAUAUAGACCCGAAACCGGGUGAUCUAGCCAUGGGCAGGUUGAAGGUUGAGUAACAUCAACUGGAGGACCGAACCGACUAAUGUUGAAAAAUUAGCGGAUGACUUGUGGCUAGGGGUGAAAGGCCAAUCAAACUCGGAGAUAGCUGGUUCUCCCCGAAAGCUAUUUAGGUAGCGCCUCGGACGAAUACUACUGGGGGUAGAGCACUGUUAAGGCUAGGGGGUCAUCCCGACUUACCAACCCUUUGCAAACUCCGAAUACCAGUAAGUACUAUCCGGGAGACACACGGCGGGUGCUAACGUCCGUCGUGGAGAGGGAAACAACCCAGACCGCCAGCUAAGGUCCCAAAGUAUUGCUAAGUGGGAAACGAUGUGGGAAGGCUCAGACAGCUAGGAUGUUGGCUUAGAAGCAGCCAUCAUUUAAAGAAAGCGUAAUAGCUCACUAGUCGAGUCGGCCUGCGCGGAAGAUGUAACGGGGCUAAGCAAUACACCGAAGCUGCGGCAAUGUCUUUUAGACAUUGGGUAGGGGAGCGUUCUGUAAGCCGUUGAAGGUGAAUCGUAAGGUUUGCUGGAGGUAUCAGAAGUGCGAAUGCUGACAUGAGUAACGACAAAGGGGGUGAAAAACCUCCUCGCCGGAAGACCAAGGGUUCCUGUCCAACGUUAAUCGGGGCAGGGUGAGUCGACCCCUAAGGUGAGGCCGAAAGGCGUAAUCGAUGGGAAACGGGUUAAUAUUCCCGUACUUCUGACUAUUGCGAUGGGGGGACGGAGAAGGCUAGGUGGGCCAGGCGACGGUUGUCCUGGUUCAAGUGCGUAGGCUUGAGAGUUAGGUAAAUCCGGCUCUCUCUAAGGCUGAGACACGACGUCGAGCUACUACGGUAGUGAAGUCAUUGAUGCCAUGCUUCCAGGAAAAGCCUCUAAGCUUCAGAUAGUCAGGAAUCGUACCCCAAACCGACACAGGUGGUCGGGUAGAGAAUACCAAGGCGCUUGAGAGAACUCGGGUGAAGGAACUAGGCAAAAUGGUACCGUAACUUCGGGAGAAGGUACGCUCUUGAUGGUGAAGUCCCUCGCGGAUGGAGCUGACGAGAGUCGCAGAUACCAGGUGGCUGCAACUGUUUAUUAAAAACACAGCACUGUGCAAAAUCGCAAGAUGACGUAUACGGUGUGACGCCUGCCCGGUGCCGGAAGGUUAAUUGAUGGGGUUAGCGCAAGCGAAGCUCUUGAUCGAAGCCCCGGUAAACGGCGGCCGUAACUAUAACGGUCCUAAGGUAGCGAAAUUCCUUGUCGGGUAAGUUCCGACCUGCACGAAUGGCGUAAUGAUGGCCACGCUGUCUCCACCCGAGACUCAGUGAAAUUGAAAUCGCUGUGAAGAUGCAGUGUACCCGCGGCUAGACGGAAAGACCCCGUGAACCUUUACUACAGCUUGGCACUGAACAUUGAACCUACAUGUGUAGGAUAGGUGGGAGGCUAUGAAGACGUGACGCCAGUUGCGUUGGAGCCGUCCUUGAAAUACCACCCUUGUAUGUUUGAUGUUCUAACUUAGACCCAUUAUCUGGGUUGAGGACAGUGCCUGGUGGGUAGUUUGACUGGGGCGGUCUCCUCCCAAAGAGUAACGGAGGAGCACGAAGGUGGGCUAAUCACGGUUGGACAUCGUGAGGUUAGUGCAAUGGCAUAAGCCCGCUUAACUGCGAGAAUGACGGUUCGAGCAGGUGCGAAAGCAGGUCAUAGUGAUCCGGUGGUUCUGUAUGGAAGGGCCAUCGCUCAACGGAUAAAAGGUACUCCGGGGAUAACAGGCUGAUACCGCCCAAGAGUUCAUAUCGACGGCGGUGUUUGGCACCUCGAUGUCGGCUCAUCACAUCCUGGGGCUGAAGUCGGUCCCAAGGGUAUGGCUGUUCGCCAUUUAAAGUGGUACGCGAGCUGGGUUUAGAACGUCGUGAGACAGUUCGGUCCCUAUCUGCCGUGGGCGUUGGAAGAUUGAAGGGGGCUGCUCCUAGUACGAGAGGACCGGAGUGGACGAACCUCUGGUGUUCGGGUUGUGUCGCCAGACGCAUUGCCCGGUAGCUAAGUUCGGAAUUGAUAAGCGCUGAAAGCAUCUAAGCGCGAAGCGAGCCCUGAGAUGAGUCUUCCCUGACAGUUUAACUGUCCUAAAGGGUUGUUCGAGACUAGAACGUUGAUAGGCAGGGUGUGUAAGCGUUGUGAGGCGUUGAGCUAACCUGUACUAAUUGCCCGUGAGGCUUAACCAUACAACACCCAAGGGGUUUUGUA
This 2414-nucleotide ribosomal RNA is filed under the name Vibrio cholerae O1 biovar El Tor. Its description in RNAcentral is "bacterial LSU rRNA". It matches the Rfam family "Bacterial large subunit ribosomal RNA", at positions 547 to 2925 of the family's 2925-position model. The record is from RNAcentral. Lineage: Bacteria; Pseudomonadati; Pseudomonadota; Gammaproteobacteria; Vibrionales; Vibrionaceae.